UAGGGAAUCUUCCGCAAUGGGCGAAAGCCUGACGGAGCAACGCCGCGUGAGUGAUGAAGGUCUUCGGAUCGUAAAACUCUGUUAUUAGGGAAGAACAAAUGUGUAAGUAACUAUGCACGUCUUGACGGUACCUAAUCAGAAAGCCACGGCUAACUACGUGCCAGCAGCCGCGGUAAUACGUAGGUGGCAAGCGUUAUCCGGAAUUAUUGGGCGUAAAGCGCGCGUAGGCGGUUUUUUAAGUCUGAUGUGAAAGCCCACGGCUCAACCGUGGAGGGUCAUUGGAAACUGGAAAACUUGAGUGCAGAAGAGGAAAGUGGAAUUCCAUGUUUAGCAGUGAAAUGCGCAGAGAUAUGGAGGAACACCAGUGGCGAAGGCGACUUUCUGGUCUGUAACUGACGCUGAUGUGCGAAAGCGUGGGGAUCAAACAGG
Molecule: ribosomal RNA, 429 nt
Filed under: Actinomycetes bacterium
Lineage: Bacteria; Bacillati; Actinomycetota; Actinomycetes
Description: Actinobacteria bacterium partial 16S ribosomal RNA
Rfam family: Bacterial small subunit ribosomal RNA
Source: RNAcentral